CAGAUAUUAGUUUAAGUAAAAUAUUAAUUUUGGAGAUUAAUGAAAAAUUAAUUUUUAUAUCUGA
RNAcentral lists this transfer RNA (64 nucleotides) under Tegyrius keralaensis. Its description in RNAcentral is "tRNA-Pro". The record is from RNAcentral. Lineage: Eukaryota; Metazoa; Arthropoda; Insecta; Coleoptera; Chrysomelidae.